Molecule: long non-coding RNA, 147 nt
Organism: Tarenaya hassleriana
Lineage: Eukaryota; Viridiplantae; Streptophyta; Magnoliopsida; Brassicales; Cleomaceae
Exons: 3
Source: RefSeq, a predicted model, not a curated record
GAGUGUUGAGAUUCCGGGUUGAAUUAGUUGUGCAAGAUGGAAAAGAUGUAGCGUUUUUCACUGUGUUCGAUAGAGAAAUGACUAAACUACUUAACAUUCGUGCUUCAGAAUCAAUUGAACCAAAUGUGCUUAAUGUCGAUGUGGAAG